This 862-nucleotide long non-coding RNA is filed under the name Marmota monax (woodchuck). Lineage: Eukaryota; Metazoa; Chordata; Mammalia; Rodentia; Sciuridae. The record is from RNAcentral.
CACAGGCUGCAUCCAGGGGCCCUGUCUCCUCAGUGCCUUUCUGCCUGGCGCAGGCUCUCGGCCAUCCCUUGACUUUCAAGACCUGGACACAUCUGAGCGUGACAGUCGGUGUGAGUGUGUCUGAUGGUUCUCGUGAUGAGAUUUGAACCUCACACCUGUGGCGCGUGUUACAGAGGUGAGGGUGUGGACAGCGACCGUGCAUACAUCCCUCCUGGUGGUCAUGCAAUCCCUUGAUGAAAGGGCUCUCAGAUUCCUCCACUCUCUUCUCCUACACGGUCAACUGUUAUUUUGAGGGGAGAUAUUUUGAAUCUUCAGAAAUAUUUCAUUCUUACUCAAAAUUUAGUUUACUCUUAUUCAUGUGUUCUUGUGGCUUCCUGAUUUGUUCAGUAAAUUUUAAUACGAUUCUCUCAUUGUUGGUUUUUGCAGCUCAUAUUGCUCUUGAUUUCACCAGGGGAGCUGGCUUGUUGGGAUUGAGAUAUGAGGUGUCCCCCAAAACUUAAGUGUGAGACAAUGAAAGACUGUCAGGGUAAAAUGGUUAGAUUUCAAGUGGAUUAAUCUACAGAUGAGGAUUAACUGGAUGCUGACUGCAGGCAGGUGGGGUGUGGCUGGAAGAAGUGGGUCACUGACUGUGCCUUUGGGUAUACAUUCUGUUCCUGCUCCCUGGUUGCCAUGUUCUGAGCUGCCCCCCUCCUCCAGGCCCUUCUGCCAUGAUGCUCUGCCUCACUGUGGGCAGUUGGCUGACCAUGGACUGAACCUCUGAAAUCAUGAGGCCCAAAUAAACUUUUCCUCCUCUCAGUUGUUCUUCUCAGGUCUUUUGAUCACGGUGAGUAAAGCAAAACCAUAGCUUCUGGGUCCUUCCGAU